This 239-nucleotide ribosomal RNA is filed under the name uncultured bacterium. RNAcentral's name for it is "partial 16S ribosomal RNA". It matches the Rfam family "Bacterial small subunit ribosomal RNA", at positions 95 to 334 of the family's 1533-position model. The record is from RNAcentral.
CCGGCGCACGGGUGCGUAACGCGUAUGCAAUCUACCUUGUACAGGGGAAUAGCCCAGGGAAACUUGGAUUAAUGCCCCAUAGUAUUAUGAAAUAGCAUUAUUUUAUAAUUAAGGAUUUAUCGGUACGAGAUGAGCAUGCGUCCCAUUAGCUAGUUGGUAUGGUAACGGCAUACCAAGGCUACGAUGGGUAGGGGCCCUGAGAGGGGGAUCCCCCACACUGGUACUGAGACACGGACCAG